Molecule: ribosomal RNA, 254 nt
Filed under: uncultured bacterium
Lineage: Bacteria
Description: partial 16S ribosomal RNA
Rfam family: Bacterial small subunit ribosomal RNA
Source: RNAcentral
UACGUAGGGUGCGAGCGUUGCCCGGAUUUAUUGGGCGUAAAGAGCUCGUAGGCGGCUUGGCAAGUCGGGUGUGAAACCUCCAGGCUUAACCUGGAGACGCCACUCGAUACUGCCAUGGCUAGAGUCCGGUAGGGGACCACGGAAUUCCUGGUGUAGCGGUGAAAUGCGCAGAUAUCAGGAGGAACACCGGUGGCGAAGGCGGUGGUCUGGGCCGGCACUGACGCUGAGGAGCGAAAGCGUGGGUAGCAAACAGG